GGUUUCCGUCGUCCGUCGGGCUUUUUGCAAUUUACCCCUUGAAAAAACUGUAAUCAACCCGCGAUCCUUCUCUGUAACUCCAUCACUCCUUGUCUCUAACUCCAUCUCCUCCAUCGUUGGCUACGGCCCGGCGCCCUACCCCCAUAGCCACCUAGCUCCGUCCGGCGAGGUACGACCCGACGGCCGGCGCGUCCUGCCCACAUAUCCGCCUAGAUCCGUCGUGCCCACUGCCAAGUGAAGCCUUUCUUGGGUCAAUGCCCAAAACAUCGAGCCAGGAGAGCGCCCCGCCCAACCCCGUCCGGCGAGGUACGGCCCGACGCCUGCCCCCAUAGCCACCCAGCUCCGUCCGGCGAGGUACGAACCGGCGCGUCCCACCCCCAUAUCCGCCCAGGUCCUUCGUCAAGGUACGUCCCGGCUCCCCCGGCGCGCCCCGCCCCCAUGGCCUCCCAGCCCAGCUCCGUAGUUUCAACCAUGCGAUGGGGAGAUGACCGGAGCCUGCUGCCCCAUGCCGAGAGGGCGGCGAGGUUUCCGCCGGUAAGCCCCGUGCCCGUCCUCCUCCGGCGCUGCACGGACUGGCUCCAUCCGUGAUCCGAGUCCCGGGAGCCCCCGUACCCAUGGCUGCCUCCGAUACAAACUCUGCUCCAAUACAUCUCUUCCAUACGAUUUCAGACAUGGACUAUGGCUUUGCCUAUUCCGCGAGCCAAUAAAGAGCGCGCGAGACCCUCCACAGGAAAACAAAUCAAGUGCAAGUUCCAUCGUCCCUCGAUCAAAUAACGUCAGCGACUAAACCAGAACUCAAUCCGCCAAAUCGGAGUUCUGCCCACGCGUGCUCCACUCAUGGUUAGGGACGUAUUUGUGCUUCUUUCAGAUUCAUUGAUCGUUAAUUGAGAUUCAUUGAUCGUUAAACCUAAAAGAAAGAUUCAGGUUGCAGGUUACAUGUUGCUCACUGAAUUAUGCUCAUUGAUCUGACAGUUUUUCUGUUACUGUUGCAGAAAAAGUGAGAGAGGAGCAGGCAGAGUAUGGGAGGCCACCAGAACCACCUCCACCGAGCCGUUCUUGGUCGCAAUUUUACUCCUUAAUUUCUGGGAUUUCAAUCUUGAUUGAUUGCUUGGUGAUCUUCUGCUCGGAGAGGAUUUUCUUGGAUUUAUUUGAAGUAAACUGCAGGCUGUUACAGCCUAGAGUUUUGAGGAUUUCAGAUGGGAUUUAAAAGACGAUUUCAUUCAUGAUUGCUUGCUUGGUCAUCUUCUGCUCGGAGAGGAUUUUCUUGAAUUUAUUGAAGUAAAGCUGCAGGCUGUUACGGCCUAGAAUUUUGAUGAUUUCAUAUGGGAUUUAGAAGAACUAGGGUGGAUGACUCGAGCCAUACUGCUCUACUCUUCGGGCACCAUGGCGGUGAGGAAUAGGUUCAUCAUGAUGCAAGGCAAUUUCAUCUCGACCAUGGUGAUGUUGGACCAGUACUACCUCUGCUUCCUGUCCAUAUUCCAGAUCUUUGGCAUCUCCUUAAUAACAUUUGGCCACUAGCGAACGGGACCUCGCCAUGCUCCUUGCCGGAGAGAGAGUUGGUCAGCGGGCUGCCGCUGGAUUCGGCCAUUGGCCACCAUCCCGGCGUAGCAGGUUCUCUAGCUACGUAUCCAAGACAGAAUUCCACGCCGUGCUACUUUUUCUGCCGAUGGCCUGAUUGUGUUGCUGCUUGUUCGUCCUAUCUGCUGCAUUAUAGCCAUCGUCACUUACCUGCUUCAACUAUUUCAUCAUAUAUGAUGUAUCACUUACACACACUUCCGGUGCAAAGUUUGGCAGUACCAAGCAUACGUAGGCAUUGCAGCUAACUGUCUUACCUGUUUGCGUUUGCUCAAGUUUAGCUAACAGAAAAUGGUUGGCUUCAGUUGCAUCAUCAGACAACCCUGAAUUUUCUUGUUCUUUUUCCAUGUAGAUUUCUAUCCCAGGAUGGGGCUCUUCUCUAAGCUGAUUGCCAUGUACUUACUUUUAAGGGGAGCAGGUACAACAUAGGUAUAAAAGAGAGUCUAAUUCAGCACAUGCCUUCUCUUCAUAAUGUAGAGGUUGUGCCGAAUGCGGUGACGCUGAAGUUUGCUACACUACGAGCAGCUGGGCGACGAUGCCAUGCAUCUGCAGGGAUUGAGGGGCAAGGUCGUAGUGGCCUUUGAGAAGAGGAGAUUUGGAGGAAAUCCCGUGCAAUCUUUCUUUAGCUUCUGGUGCUGCCCAACGGCGGAAAACACAGGAGUUCGUACUCUCGGCGAUGAAGCUUGACCAGGCUGCCAUCUACCUCAAGAGGAGCAGGAUGUGCAGUCUGAGCACAACCUGGUAAACCUGAUGAUUUUUAAGCGCCUGCGAAAGCCAAGCCAAUAAGAUGACCGCAUACACACAAUUCGUCUACUCUAGGGGAUUUGGUAGCUGCAUGUUGUUUCUUCUUAAUAAAGAUAAAUUUCAGAUUA
Lolium perenne is the source of this 2447-nucleotide non-coding RNA. The record is from RefSeq and is a predicted model, not a curated record. NCBI's taxonomy places the organism in Eukaryota, Viridiplantae, Streptophyta, Magnoliopsida, Poales, Poaceae.